RNAcentral lists this ribosomal RNA (440 nucleotides) under uncultured bacterium. RNAcentral's name for it is "partial 16S ribosomal RNA". It matches the Rfam family "Bacterial small subunit ribosomal RNA", at positions 339 to 795 of the family's 1533-position model. The record is from RNAcentral.
CUACGGGAGGCUCCAGUGGGGAAUAUUGCACAAUGGACGAAAGUCUGAUGCAGCAACGCCGCGUGGAGGAUGACACAUUUCGGUGCGUAAACUCCUUUUAUAUAAGAAGAUAAUGACGGUAUUAUAUGAAUAAGCACCGGCUAACUCCGUGCCAGCAGCCGCGGUAAUACGGGAGGGUGCAAGCGUUAUUCGGAAUCACUGGGCGUAAAGGGUGCGUAGGCGGUUUGGAAAGUCAGAUGUGAAAGCCUACAGCUUAACUGUAGAACUGCAUUUGAAACUUCCAGACUAGAAUACUGAAGGGGCAGAUGGAAUUAGUGGUGUAGGGGUAAAAUCCGUAGAUAUCACUAGGAAUACCGAAAGCGAAAGCGAUCUGCUGGGAAGUUAUUGACGCUGAGGCACGAAAGCGUGGGGAGCAAACGGGAUUAGAUACCCCCGUAGUC